CACCACCCAUGCCGGCCGCUUUCGGCGAGCUCCGGAGCCGCGCUGCACGCCCCCAAGCUCACCAUGGUCCGCGCCUCCCUCCCCUCUGUCCAGAUUCUCCGCUCCCGGCCUCUACCACCCGCUCGCAACCCCACCCCCGUGGCUAGGGUUUCUGGCAAGGGUUUGCCGGCGCGUCUCCGGCGGCCCUAGAUGCAGAUGUAGCACACCAUGGGAGUUUCCCAUCCACCAUGGUGGCAGCUUCUUCACGGAGAUGUGAUGCAAAAGAAGCACAAUAGUUCAGUGAUGAUUAGCUUUGUUUUUUCCCAGUUGAGAAUUUGAGGUUGUAUGUGUACACUGUCAACAAUAUUUCCAGAAACAAAAUAAUCGUGUACAUCCUUGUUUGGGGAAAGGUGGGCUGUAUAAGCAUGGACAUUAAUCUUCACUUUUUGUGCUAUAUAAGCAUGGACGUUAGGUAGUCAAUUUAGCCACAUAUAGAAUUCGUUAGAGUAUUACAUUUAAAUGACUGACACAAGGUUCAGUAGGAAUUUGUUACAGUAUUACAUUUAAAUGGCUGACACAAGGUUCAACCAGAUAUAGAAGGUCACAUAUCAUUUUAGUUGUAAUUAUUCAAAUGGCUGACACAAGGUUCAGUAGGAAUAACAUUAUGGUGUUCCAAAUAUGCAGCGACAUGACUAAAGCUCAAAUUUCUAAAGUGUUUGUCGUGCUUGCCAUAACAGUGUAGAUCUUUUCACAUUUUCUGGAUUUAUUCAUGACCGUGGAGUUUUUGUGCCCAUCAUAUGUAGAUCUUUUAUUGGUAAGUUUGGAUGUUGUAGACUGAUCCGCUUUGGUAAGUCAUGUUUGCCUGCAGGGUGAUGAUGUUUAUGCAUCUAGGGAACCAUGGAGAUUUUACCAUGUGAUAUUUCCUCAAGCAAACUAAGUUAUUUUGCAAUUUGCUGCUCAAGUUGUGGCUCUUCUGCAGGCAAAACGGUCAUGGCGGUCCUGCACAAGUGGAUGAAUGACUGGAAGGGGCGGCACCACGAUGGUUAAGGUGGUUUAUACCCAGCCUGGGAGGACGACCCCCUACAAUGGGCACGGAAAGAUGUUGCAGUAGCGAACAAGGAGGCGGAGAUGCGCAAAGCAGAGUAGGAAAAACAUGCUCUGGUCCUCCUCCAAGCCCGCCGGCGACUCCCUAACAUGAUUUAACCAAUCACGAGGACUAGGAUGUUGAGGAAGAUGGUGAAUGGGAAGCUCCAACCAUAUGCAAAAGGAACAAUUUCAAAUCCUAAGUGCAAGGACCAUGUACGCAAAAGAUUGGAGGUGAACGAGGAUGACUCAAGCAUUACAAAGAACAGUUGGUAAACAAUGUACCGGUCUCAGCUGACCUUAUGUAUCUUGCAGUGUCAGUGCCAUACUUCUGUACAUAAAACGAUGGAACCGGCACCAAUCACUUGAACGGGCAUGUUGAUUUGGUUUUCCUGUCUAUGUGCCUUGAGCAUUUCUUCCUCUACACCAGGCAAUGAUUGAGGAUUCACGGAUAUAUUGAGAUCAACUUUUCGAUGCAAUUUGGAUGAUCAAAUCACACUACUAUCUGAGCAUAUAUGAGAUGUUCGCACAGCUACAUUUUUAAAUGUUCAUAAGGUUUGUGAACAUACAAUUUACUACAUGAAGGAUGUGCCUGGCUUCCAUGUUGAAGUAGUAGGACUAUUUCCACAUAUGCGAGAGAAGAACUAUGAUCGGAGGUACUAUGUAUGCUUGAUCUAAUUUAGACAUCAACAAUUAUGUAUCUAAAAGCUGGAGUUCUCCUUGAACAUUGUACUAUAUAUAUGAUUGAAAUGAGUUGCAUGUUGUUGGUGACGGCGAGUUGAACCAAUGGAAGCGGCUGUAAUGGUAAGAUAGAGAAGAUGGCCGUGGGAGAAAAAGAGGACGGCAGUAAUGGUAAAGAAGAGAAGAUCAUUGAUGUAAAAGGAGGACAUGUGUUGGACCUAGCAUGUCUAAAUACAAGCAUGUGGUCAUAAGUAUUUUCUUUUCCUUACAAACGAUAGUUGGUUAUUUGGCUUCACAACCUCCAUAUUUCAAUUUGGCAUGCAACACAUGUACAUGCAUGUUUUGUCUUCAGGUGA
Long non-coding RNA from Triticum aestivum (bread wheat), 2099 nucleotides. RefSeq lists it as uncharacterized. The transcript has 7 exons. Lineage: Eukaryota; Viridiplantae; Streptophyta; Magnoliopsida; Poales; Poaceae. The record is from RefSeq and is a predicted model, not a curated record.